Ochotona princeps (American pika) is the source of this 111-nucleotide ribosomal RNA. Lineage: Eukaryota; Metazoa; Chordata; Mammalia; Lagomorpha; Ochotonidae. The record is from Ensembl.
GUCUACGGCCACACCACCCUGAACGCGCCCGAUCUCGUCUGAUCUCGGAAGCUAAGCAGGGUCGGGCCUAGUUAGUACUUGGAUGGGAGAAAGACUUGCAGGGCAUAGUAC